GAUGAACGCUGGCGGCGUGCCGAAUACAUGCAAGUCGAGCGAACAGACGAGGAGCUUGCUCCUCUGACGUUAGCGGCGGACGGGUGAGUAACACGUGGAUAACCUACCUAUAAGACUGGGAUAACUUCGGGAAACCGGAGCUAAUACCGGAUAAUAUAUUGAACCGCAUGGUUCAAUAGUGAAAGACGGUUUUGCUGUCACUUAUAGAUGGAUCCGCGCCGCAUUAGCUAGUUGGUAAGGUAACGGCUUACCAAGGCAACGAUGCGUAGCCGACCUGAGAGGGUGAUCGGCCACACUGGAACUGAGACACGGUCCAGACUCCUACGGGAGGCAGCAGUAGGGAAUCUUCCGCAAUGGGCGAAAGCCUGACGGAGCAACGCCGCGUGAGUGAUGAAGGUCUUCGGAUCGUAAAACUCUGUUAUUAGGGAAGAACAAAUGUGUAAGUAACUAUGCACGUCUUGACGGUACCUAAUCAGAAAGCCACGGCUAACUACGUG
This 497-nucleotide ribosomal RNA is filed under the name uncultured bacterium. Its description in RNAcentral is "partial 16S ribosomal RNA". It matches the Rfam family "Bacterial small subunit ribosomal RNA", at positions 28 to 507 of the family's 1533-position model. The record is from RNAcentral.